This 200-nucleotide unclassified non-coding RNA is filed under the name Trichoderma sp. RNAcentral's name for it is "partial internal transcribed spacer 2". Lineage: Eukaryota; Fungi; Ascomycota; Sordariomycetes; Hypocreales; Hypocreaceae. The record is from RNAcentral.
CUAAGUUCAGCGGGUAUUCCUACCUGAUCCGAGGUCAACAUUUCAGAAAGUUGGGUGUUUAACGGCUGUGGACGCGCCGCGCUCCCGGUGCGAGUGUGCAAACUACUGCGCAGGAGAGGCUGCGGCGGGACCGCCACUGCAUUUCGGAGACGGCCCCCCGCAGAGGGAGGGCCGAUCCCCAACGCCGACCCCCCGGAGGG